GGACUUAUAAAAUCCUCUAUACGCAUAGCAGCUUGAACAGAAAACUCUGAGACGAGCUCACGAAGUGGAUGAAUCAUUUCAUCCAAGGCACGCGAGGUAACGGCAGAUUCAUUGAAUAGACCAAGAACACCGGAAAGAUUGAAGGCAUUUUCAAUAAUUUCUGGUGAUAUGUCUGUCGUCCAUGCUUUCACCAACCAUAAAAUAGCUCUUAAAACAUUAGUAGUAUUAUAGGGAUUGCGUCCCAACUCAUUUUGUUCCAAUAUAUAUUGAACCCAGUGUUUGCGAUAGCAUGCUUUUAGAGCAUAGAUCACACCCUCACUACAAGGCUGGGAAAUAGAGGCUGAAGUAGAUGGUAAAGUAAUUACAGUUGUAUUUCUGAGGUCAUUACCAGAGUUUCGAAUGUUUUCAACAGCACGCAAAUGUGGAGUAUAGCUAUCAAUAAGAAGUAUGACUUUGCGACCUUCCAUACACGCAUCAAACCAACGUAGCCAUUCCUCCAUUAUAGCUGUGGUCAUGGAUGCCUUACCAUUACUUCUCCAUUUGAAAUUCAUUACUUCGGGUUUUACAUUAGCAGCCCGAAACACUCUGGGAGAUUGUGAGUAUCCAAUAACCCAUAAAGGCAAACGUUCGGUUCCCGAAGCAUUACAACACACGGUUAGUGUAAUACGAGCUUUGAAUCGAGUAAUACCUUUUAUAUCUUCGACUUCGGGAGUGCCAUUUGGAACCAAUUUCCAAAAAAGACCGGUCUCUUGCAUUGUGAAGAUAUCAUUAAUAUUCGUUAAUCGCGUGACAUCGUAAACACGAGAGAGAGGAUCAUUAGGUGGUUCCGUAUUAUUCAAAACCACAGACUCGGUGGGUUGUUCAUUAAUUGCAUGAAGUAUAUGGCGCUUCCUGAAACCUUCCAACCAUCCAUUGCUAAAGUUCGGAACCGGUUGAUCUUGAUACUCGGGAAUUUUGUGCCAAAGAAUAGCGGCGGCUCUCUUAAUUGUUUCACCGGAAAGUGUAGCAUCGUCACCCUGUUGAACUUGCCAUUCAAAUAAAGCGGCCUCUAAAAGAGGGUAUUUCGGUGGUCUGUUACGUUUCACGUCCCAUGGUUUUUCUACAGUAUUGUCCAGAUACGAGUAUUUGGAGGAUAAGAUCUGAGAGACGGAAGGCUGUGAAAUAUCUUUGCCAAACUUUUCACGGAACCAUUCGAUAAGAUCUUGUUGACCGGAACGGUUUUGAAGUUGAAAAAAGUAGUGCCUAAGAGCGCGUUUUUCAUGUUCUGUAAUGGCUCUUCUUUUGAUUUUUCCCAUUACUCGAUAGCUUUAUUAUUUCUAAUGUCUUGAAGUGAAAAUAUAAGGAUAGCAGAGCAAAGGUUUCUUGCCUUAAUAAAACGACACUAACAGUCACGAGUUCGUAAUAUUAUACUGAACAGCGU
This 1420-nucleotide long non-coding RNA is filed under the name Schizosaccharomyces pombe (fission yeast). Lineage: Eukaryota; Fungi; Ascomycota; Schizosaccharomycetes; Schizosaccharomycetales; Schizosaccharomycetaceae. The record is from RNAcentral.